GACGAACGCUGGCGGCGUGCUUAACGCAUGCAAGUCGAACGGAAAGGCCCUGCUUUUGUGGGGUGCUCGAGUGGCGAACGGGUGAGUAACACGUGAGUAACCUGCCCUUGACUUUGGGAUAACUUCAGGAAACUGGGGCUAAUACCGGAUAGGAGCUCCUGCUGCAUGGUGGGGGUUGGAAAGUUUCGGCGGUUGGGGAUGGACUCGCGGCUUAUCAGCUUGUUGGUGGGGUAGUGGCUUACCAAGGCUUUGACGGGUAGCCGGCCUGAGAGGGUGACCGGCCACAUUGGGACUGAGAUACGGCCCAGACUCCUACGGGAGGCAGCAGUGGGGAAUAUUGCACAAUGGGCGGAAGCCUGAUGCAGCAACGCCGCGUGCGGGUUGACGGCCUUCGGGUUGUAAACCGCUUUCGCCUGUGACGAAGCGUGAGUGACGGUAAUGGGUAAAGAAGCACCGGCUAACUACGUG
This 468-nucleotide ribosomal RNA is filed under the name uncultured bacterium. RNAcentral's name for it is "partial 16S ribosomal RNA". It matches the Rfam family "Bacterial small subunit ribosomal RNA", at positions 28 to 507 of the family's 1533-position model. The record is from RNAcentral.